UGUAAGCGUAUACCAAAGUUGUUGCAGUUAAAACGCUCGUAGUCGGAAUUUGGCAGUUCCGGAUGUGUGCACGUCGUGUGCGCACUUCGCGGGGAUUGCUUUUGUGGUCUUGCGUAGGAUGAGGCACUUUUAUUAGUGAACGUCCUCACGCAACCACUUUUUACUGUGAGAAAAUCAGAGUGCUCAAAGCAGGCAUUUGCCGUGAAUGUAUUAGCAUGGAAUAAUAGAAUAGGACUUGGUUCUAUUUUGUUGGUUUGUUGGGACUGAGUAAUGAUUAAGAGGGACAGUUGGGGGCAUUUGUAUUUCGGUGCUAGAGGUGAAAUUCUUAGAUUACCGAUAGACAAACUGCUGCGAAAGCGUCUGCCAAGGAUGUUUUCAUUGA
This 382-nucleotide ribosomal RNA is filed under the name uncultured eukaryote. Its description in RNAcentral is "partial 18S ribosomal RNA". It matches the Rfam family "Eukaryotic small subunit ribosomal RNA", at positions 592 to 976 of the family's 1831-position model. The record is from RNAcentral.